RNAcentral lists this long non-coding RNA (13232 nucleotides) under Solanum lycopersicum (tomato). RNAcentral describes it as "long non-coding RNA (SLYC_LNC000568)". The record is from RNAcentral. Lineage: Eukaryota; Viridiplantae; Streptophyta; Magnoliopsida; Solanales; Solanaceae.
GUCAUUGAAACAUGAAUAAUUCGCGUAAAAGAAAGCAUAUCCUGCAAUGUAAGCAUCACUCUUAUCAUCAUAUUUGGAUCGGAAUUCCUCAACUUCUCCCUCUACGACUGGGAAUUUAAGGUCAAACGUUGUAAGGACAGGCUUGAACCCUUCGUCAGUAGUAUUUUUAGGUUCGUCAAAAGGGGUUGGAGAGACUUCAAGUAGAAGUACUGAUGGACCGUAGAAAAGUGGAAGAGGGUUUUCCUUAAAGAGCAAAUUGGCUAAGGAAGACUCAGUAGCUUUGUAUAAAUGAGUAUAGUUAUGGUAUACAUGGAUUUGGUAAAACAAUUUGUAUAUAUGAGAAAGAUCAGAUUUUGUAGCAAGACGGACUCGUGUGUAUAUCUUUCCAGUGAUGGUAACGUCCGAUGAUGCAUCGCUGGUUAUUGAUUGUUGAAGAGCAGGAGCCAUGAGAAAGUGUUUAGUUAAAUUUGAGAGGAUUGAAAUUUAAGAUAAAAGAAAUGUUGAAAGGUUUAGUAAUGGGAUAAUAUUGUGUGUGUUUGGGAUAAUAAUAGUAAUUAUUUAUAGUGGAGAUUUUUUUAAAAAAAUAAAUAAUUAUUUGGUUAGUGAGGUUCAUGGAAAUAGGUUCCAAUGAAAAAAAAAAAGUUGGUGGAGACAAGUGUGCGUUCUAUAUCUAUUGACUGGGUCGGCUGAAGGGUCAAAUCAUUGAUGCCUUUAGUCUCAAAUUUUGUUUUUUUUUCUUAUAGAAAAAAAUAGUAGCUAGGAUAAUAUUUUUUGAGUUACCCAUCAAAAUUUGGCCACCAUUAAUUUUUUAAUGUAAUUAUGAUUAACUACUUUUUAAUAAUAAUUGUAAUAAUAAUAAAAUGGAUGGAACAAUAAUCAUGUGUAAAUAUUGUACUGCUGGAGUUUAAACUUUGACAAGUGGAACUUAAAAAAUAAUUUACUCAAAUAAACUUUCACCAUUUAAGCUUAAAAAUUGAAUAAAAUUUUAAUGAUUCGAGGAAUUCAAAUUUUAAUCAAUAAUAAUUCAUGAAAUUUCAAAUGAUAAAUAUUUCCCAAUUUUUUUGAAGCUUCAAUAAAUUGUACUUACCCUUUUUAGCCACCUAAUAUUUGUCAUCAUUAUUUCUUUAAAGACAAAAAUUUGUUCCUUCUAUACCAUGAAACAAAAGAAAAAAUUAGAGAAAAAAAGAGGGUUUUUUAACCAAACUAAGCCAUCAUAUAAACUCAUUCAUCAAAAUAAUAUGUUUUUCUAAAAUUUUACAAAGUAGUAUAAAUGUAUUCCACAGUAACGUUUUAGGAUAUAUUUUAUUUUUAAAAAGUUAAUGGCGUCAGAUUGAUAUACGUUACUUUACUCACAGUGACGUUUUACUUUUAAAACGUUACUCACAGUAAUGUUUUAGGAGUAAAACGUUACAGAAAAUAACGUUUUAAAAGUAAAAUGUUACUUACAAUAACGUAUAUCAACUUAAUGUUGUUAGUUUUAAAAAAAUAAAAUAUACCCUAAAACGUUACCGUUAAAUACGUUUAUACUAGUUUUGUAAAAUUUUAGAAAAAUAUAUUAUUUUGAUAAAUUAUUUUAUAUAAUAACUUAGUUUGGUUAAAAAUUAAAAAAACGAGUGGGAGUACACGGUGCAAUAGAUGGGUUAGCUUGGACCAUGCAAAAAAAAAAAAUCAUUAAAAUGUUAGCAAUAUUGUACGAAUAAACUGACUAUUCUUUUAACAUAAUAAAAAUAAAUAAAGAUUUUGACUUUGUAUGAAGGUAGACUUUCACCAUCCUUACACUACCAUGUUUCAAUGAAUUAAUUUAACUUCACACAACUUAAAGAAAAUAAUAAACUUUUUUGAUCUUCUAAUUCUAAAUUAAUAUAAUGUUAAAUGUAUCGCAAUGUUCUUUAAUUUUAUAGCCUUAAAUAUUCUACAUGAAAAAUUAAAAUUAAAAUAUUAUCAAAAAUAAAAAAAAAUUAUUCUUUUUUUUUAGAGGAAGCAAUAAAUAACAAUAUCGUUGUCGACGAUUUCAGCAAUAUGGAUGAAUAUUCUAUGGAUCACACAAAUGAUGUGUAUAAGUCAAGUGAAGUCGUCAACAUUGACAAUGAGUAAUGUUUACCAAGAUGCAUGAAAUUUCAACAAGGAUAAUAUAUAAGAAUCCAUAUAUAUUCACAUUGAAAAUGAACAUGCUUUAGAGAAAAUUAUUUUUCAUCUUAAAUGAACAUAUUUAUGAAUUUUCCAGGCACAUAUGUUUGCGAAAAUAGCUAGUCAAUCACGCAAAUGUGUUGAACAUUUAAGACAACGACAAUUUAGUGGGUGUGUUAAUUGAACAUAUAACAAGUUAAAAAAUUAUAUCAUAAUUUACAAAUUAAUUUUUUAUUAUUUAUUUCGAUAAUAAAGAACAAACUUUUUACAACUAUUUCAUCAUAUUCGUUUUUUUUUAUCGAUAAUUUUCAAUAUUUUUAAAAACACAUGUAAGAGUUACAAGUAGGGGUGUACAUGAUGUGGUUGGUUCAAGUUUUCCAAAUAUCGAACCAAACCAUUUGUGUUGGAUUGUUGAAUUUAUAAACCAAAUCAAACCAACAAAAAUUGAUUUUUUCAACUUUGGGAUUUUUUAAGGUUUUUUUGGAUUUUUGGGUUUAAAGUAUUCGUACAGACAUAUAAUUUACUUGUAUUUCAAAUUUUUCGUUAGACCAACCAAAAUUCAACUAUCUAAGUUAUUUUUCAAGAAAAUAACAAAAAAUAAGAUAUGAUUAAUGACACUAAAAUAUCCAACAAAAUAAUAAUAAUAAUAUCGCGUAAAACAAAUAUUGCAAAUUAAUAAGUCAUAAUGAAAUUGAUCAUAACUUAAAGUACUAAAUCAUGCUAAAAUAAGUUUAGUAAGUAUUAGUUACAUGACUAAAUAUUAAAAGAAAGUAAAAUUAGAUCAUGUAUUUUAAUUGUCUAAAUAUAUGUAAAACUAAAAAAUAAAUAUUCAAUAAUCAUUGUUAGUGUUGAAUUGAUUUUUUUUUUGUAUUAGUAUUAAUUUAUUUUUUAUUUAAACUUUAUUAUAAUUACCAACAUGUAUGGACUAUAAUCCUUAUUAGAUCAUUAAGAAUGCUAACUUCCAAAUAUGAAAUAAUAUAUUAAAAGAUAAAAACCAUGAAAAAGUAUAAAAGAUAUUUAAAAAUUGUAUCAAAGUAAGUAUUUUUAUGUAUAAAAUAAAAUUCUAAAAUUAUAUAGAUAAUGUCGGGUUGAUUUGUUCUCGGGUUGAGUUUUUUUAGUUGACACCAAAUCAAUUCAAAUAUAGUCGAAUUUUUUUCCAACACUAAACCAAGUCAAACCAAACUACUGAUCGAAUUUUUUUCAAUUUACGAUUUGAUUCGAUUUUGUACACACUUAAUAAAAGUUAGAUCAUCAUAUUUGUAUAACACAUACAUUUUUGUAGUUUUUGUACUAGUUAAAAGAUAAAGAAUUAGUUGAACGCGAAAGAUGAUACUGAUAGUAAUACAUCCGUAAAUAAAAGAAAAAAUAUAUCUAUAUUAUCUUAUAACUUGCUUCUAUAACUCGUUGAUAGCUUACUACCAUUCAAGAUGAACUUUUGACUUGUAGUUGAUUUAUCCCCCUAAGCCCGAAAUGAAAACUUUAGAAUAAUAAUAUAUCAUUAGACUAUCCUAUAGUUUUAUUUAUCUCUGGAGAACUUAUUUAGCAUAAAUCCUAUUAGAGAUAUCAAAAUAAAUAUUGGAUACUAGGAUGAUAUAGUUUUAAUAAGACAGAAUAUAUGGAGUCCCCUUAAACUUGUACCUUUUAUAUAUACAUAUAUAUUAAUAAAUCAUGGCCUAGCUGUGUUGUAUUUCAUAAAAAAAGGUGGAACAUGAGGGGAAUCGAAGUUUAUCUUCAAAAUUAAAUUUGUACUUGUUUUCUAAAUAUUGCAAAGGAAUAAACAUAUAUCUCUCCUAAUAAGUAAAGUCCAAAAAUUAGUAAAUCCUACCCCAGAAACAAAUGAAAUACAACUAUCUCCUUUUCACUUUCGAGCUUCCCGAUUUGUCUUUUUUAAUACUGGACGCAAGUGAUAAUUUAUUUAAAUUUAAAGGAGGACGAGAGCUAAAAGAAAAGUUGACAUAAACUAACGGGGUAUUCGUUGUUAUUUAUUUUAGGUGAAUGGGUAUUUAUUGAAUUAGCUUGGAUUAAGCUAUGAAAUUAUAAUUAAUUCAUAUUUUAUGGUAGUUUCCCCCAAAUUCUAAGCGUCUCUAUUGACCAUUUCCCCCCCUUUUAAUUAUUUUCACGUUAGCAGACAAGGAAGGCAUGCAUGCAAAUAGAAUGUAGUAUUAUUUUACCCUAGACCAAAUUAAAGUGGUUAAAGAGAGUAGGCGUUAAGCCAUCUAAUUUAUUUGAAAUUCGCUUGCAACGGUAAUAAUGAUCUGAUUUUCAAAAAGUCGUUAUUUUUUGUUUUUCAAACACUGAAAAAAUUUUCCUUCGCACUGUAAGCAUUUUCUCUCAAAAACAAAAAGUGUCGAUCGGAUGAGUCUGUAUGUGACUUGUUAUGUUCGCUGAAGUUAUUGAAGUUUGAGGUAUCACUACUUCUUUAACAGGUUAAUCUGUUUUAUCUUAGAAAAAAUUAAUAAAAAAGGUGAAACAUAAGGGGAAUCAAAUUUUAUCUUCAAGAUUAAAUUUGUACUUGUUUUCUAAAUUGCAAGGAUUCUAUUACUGUAGAAUAUUAUUUAAAUUCACAAUAAAUACAUUAUUGAGUAUUAUUAAGAUUUCUUAUUUAAAAAUUAAUCAUUAAUUAUUUUACAAUUGGAAAGCUAAACAAAGUUGCUACAUAUCUCUAAACCGAUAUGGCGACUUUUAAGGGACUGCACCAGUUGGACUAAUUCCAAAGACCCAAAAUUAUACCAUUGAACACACUUUCCUUUUUUAAACAUAAUUCCAAACAUUUGGGAAGAAGAUGAUGUUUGGCUCAAAAAAAUUGUAAUAUUUUUAGUUAUGCAAAAACUAAUUUUAUUAAAAUCAAAUAUAAGCUAUCAGGGCAUCUUCAACCCAAAUUUAGUGUCAAUAUCAAAUUUAAUGUAAUCAACUUCAAGUCAUUGCAUGAAAUUUUACGCCAACAAUUUUUUUUUCUCUCUCUCUUUAUUAUUUUAUUAUUAUUUCUUAUCUCAUAAAAAAACUCUUUCUAAAACAAUCAUAUAUAAGUACACAUUAAAACAAAAACAAUUUUUAGCGGCAUUAAAUAUUGACAUUAGUAAAGAGUGCUAAAGUCUUUACCGGCAUUAGUUAAGUGUCAUUAGAACCAACUUUGCUAAAACCUUUAGAGACAUAUACAAAAAGUAUCAAUUGCCGCUAAAAAUACAUAUUUAGUUCUUAAUUGCCACUAACAAUCAUUUUUGUUGUAGUGACAUUGUAUUAUUUGUUUAAAAAUUUAUAUGUUCGUAUUUUUAAUUUUUGUGAUGGUUAAUUAUAGUUUAUAUAAUUUAUAGUAGAAUUAAAAUAUUUUUAAGUUUUUAAAAGUGUCAUAUAUAGGAAAAUUAAUUUAUAAAAAGCUACAUUUUAUAUCUAAAAUGAAUAUUACAAAAAUAUUACAUAAAAAAUAACUAAAUAUACAAGAGAUUUAAUUUAAAUACAUAAUUUAUAUAAUAUUUAAUUAAAAAUUUGUAUAAUAAAAUAACAUUAUAAUAUUUAAAAAGUUAUUUGAUAUAAAAAUUGACGCGAAUGGAAGUUUAAAAUACUAAAUUUUACAUCAAAUAUAAAAUGUAAUGUAAAUUUUAGUGUUGGAUCGGAGAUGGUCUCUUUCGAGGGAUGAGAUAAGAGAGAAAGGAAAAAAGUUUCAGCAAAAUUCAAAAAUUAGUAAAUUCUACCCAGAAACCAACGAAAUACAGCUAUUUCUUUUCCCCUUUCCAGCUCACUCUUCUAAUACUCUAAGCAAGUGACAAUUUGCCUAAAUUUGAAAGGAGUGAAGGCUAAAGGGAAAUUGGCCUAAACUAGGGGGCGGGGGCAACUGAGGGAUGUAGAUCGAUACUAUUUUGUCGAAAAAUUAUAUGGUAUAAUUAGAUAAUAAUAUAUUCUUUAUGUAUAUAUAUUACAUAUUGAUACUCUUUGAUUCUACACAAUUGAACUUUUUUAUAUUUUGACACUCCUUAAUUAAAAUUUUGGCUCCGCCAUUGAGGGGUUGGAAGGGGGGAGGGUGUUAUGGAUUGCACCUAUUUUAGUAGAAUAGGUUUGCUGAAUUAAUUUCGAUUGGGCUAUGAAAUUUAAUUAGAUGAGGAAAUUGUAUGAAAUAGUAAACUAUCAAUUCAAAUUAAAUAUUAUAAUCGUAGUUUAUUUUUAUUUGUAAUUCGGAGCAAACAUCUAUUUUUUUGUCAUAUGUUUUGGUAUAUAAUUAGUCAUUUUUGGUAUACAAUUAGUCAUUUCAUAUAUUUCGGUAUAAAAUAUAUAAAAUGUGUUUGUGUUUAUAAAGCGAGAAAAUAGUGUAUAUACAAAUAUAAAUACGUAUAUUUUCGUCCUAUACACUUAUGAUUAUACAAAUACAGAUCUUAUUACACUACAACAAAAACAACUUUCAGCGGCAUUAAAUAUUAACACUAAUAAAGAGUGCUAAAGUCUUUACCGGCAUUAGUUAAGUGUCAUUAGAACCAAUUCGCUAAAGGCUUUAGGGACAUAUACAAAGAGUGGCAUUGCACUAAAAAAUCAUAUUUAUUAAAUGCUGCUAAUGGUCAUUUUUAUUGUAGUGUUAUACAAGGGAAAAAAUUAUGUGUUAAGCAAACUUAUACUAUUUAGUUACCAUCAUACCUACAGUUUGCUAUAAUUACCACUCGCGACUAACAUUAUACACUAAUUACGUAGGUUGAUUACGAAUUUGUAUAAUUAGUCACGUUUGCAUAUGUAUAAUUCGUCACAUUUGUAUAAUUCACACCUAACUGUUCUUUGUUUGAUUUGUAUUUGUAUAUGACGAUGAUUUCCUUUUAUUUUUUAUUUUUCCAUUAUACAUUCAAUCUUCUUGUGUAUAACUUUUGAAAAUUUGUAUAAACAUGUAGUUUUUGAAUUUUGUAUAAUAUAUUUUGUAUAAUUGUUUAUGUUUGUAUCAGUUCUUUAUUUUGAGUUUUAUUAUAUUUGUAUAAUUUCAGACUUUAUAUUACUCAAUUAUAUAAAAGUACGUGAAUUAUACUCGAAUUAUACAAAUUAUUGUCCUCUUUUGCUUGUGUUUCUCCUCCGUCUCUAAAUCUCGCCCGCCUCUCACCUUCCUCUCCCAAUCUCGCUCACCUCUAUCCUCCAUCUCCCAAUCUUGUUUGCCGCCUCUAUCCUCCCUUUCUCAAACUCUCUCACAAGAAUAUACAAAUACAUAUGUAUAAUAUAUAAUUAUCUAACCGAUAUACUAUACAAUCACUCCUCUCUCACUCUCUGCCCUCUCUCGCUGAUCUCUCCUCCCUCUCCUAGUCUCACCCGUCACUCUCCUCCCUAUAAUGUGUAGCUACGAAUAUAAUUAGAAAACUAUAUUUAUAAAGUGUAAUUAGACUAUUUUUGAAUGAUUAUAUGAGAAAGUUCCUAUAAAAGAAAAAAUGAACAUGGCCCACUAUUCAAAGUAUCAAACAAACAUAUAUAGUAGCCUCACAUAAUUUUUCGUUGGAAAAAUUACCUAACUAUAUAUCUUUUUUUACCCUAUUUUCUAUUAUUCUCUACCAUGUCAAAAAUUUACAAAAAUCUCAUAUUUUUUUUCAAACUCUCUUAUUUUCAGAUACAUAACUUUCAAUCUUCCAACUCCACUAUAUUCUUCCCUUUUUCAUGCAUAUUAUCGCACCACUAUAUCACUAAUUACCUUCAUCACUCCUUUAUUUUGAAUUUCAAAUAUGUGAUCUCUCAAGUUAAUGAUUUAAAGUUAAUCAAAAGGUAUCUUUUCUUUCUAGCUCUUUUUUAUGGGAAAACACGAACAAUAGGCUCAAUUUAUUGACUAUGUAUCAUAUGUUUGUUAGGUAUGUGCAUUAUUUUUUUAUAACUAAAUCAUUAUUUAUCAAAUUCAUAUUUUUUUUGUUUAAGAUACAUAGGUACGUCAAAUUAUAUGGCAUGAUAUAUAAAUAUUAAUUUAUACUAUAUGUAUCGAUCUCAAACCAUAUAAUUUAUCGGCAACAACUACAUGUUUAAUGUAUCAUGUAACAAUAAAUACUUAUCAAUUUAAAUGAGUAAUACAUAUACAUAGCAAUGUAUCACGCACUAAUUUUUUUUAGAUAUGAUAUGUAAAUUCAAAUUUAUACUAAAUGUAUCAAUUACAUAGUAACUGUUAGGCGAUAAUAUAUCUAGUAUAUAAAUAAAAUACUUAUCAAUUAAAAUGAGAUACAUAAAUUGUAAUGCAUAAUGCACUAAAAUUUUUUUAAAUAUGAUACGUAAAUUUGAACUUAUACUAAAUGUAUCGAUCUUAAAUCUAACAUCCCUUAUAGGCACAAUUAUUCAUUUAAUGUAUCUAGUAUAAAUAUAACACUUAUCAAUUUAAACAAAAUAUAUAGAUAGUAAAAUACUAAGAAACAAAGAUAUUCAUGACGUAUCUUCUCAAAAUUUUUGACAAUUUUUGAAUCAAAAUUUAAAGAAAUUUCAACAAAGUAGGAGAAAAAAUUUGAAUCUCAAAAUUUUCAACAAUUUUGAUCUUCGAUAUUCUGGGAGAAGAAAAUUCUUGAAUCUAAUUUUUUUUGACAAUAUUGAAUCAAAUUGAAAGGAUCUUCAAUGAACUUGAAGAUUCAAAAGGUAAUCGUUUGUUCAACAACAGUUCUAUCACUUUUGUAUCCUUCAUUACUGAUCUCACUUACCCAAAAUUUGGACAAUAUUUUUAAAAUCAAAUCUGAAAGAUUUCUUCGUUGAAUGGGGAGAGAAAUUUGAAAUUUUGAGUUUCUUCGUUAUGAUAGGAUCUGCCUUUGGAUGAUUGAGAGUAAGAAGAAACCCAAGUAUAAUUUAUGAGAUUUAAUUAAUUUCCAAAUUUUAUUCUCUUUUUAGCGCAACAAAAAGAUUACUCUUGUACUAGAAUUUUUGUAUCGGGAUAGUGACUUAUGUAUACAAAAGAUACAAAUUUUAAAAAAUUAUUGUAAUUACAAAAAAGUUUAUUGAAUGUAAUUUAUUCUUUACAGAGAUUUAUGUAAGUUAUAUUAAUUUUUUUUAAGUUAACGGAUGCAUAUGGGUCUGUUUGGGUGCAAGAGAUGUUUUAGCAUGGAUCAUGCACAAAAAAUAAAUGGAGAAAAUUGUAAAUAACAAACUGUUAAUUCAAAUUAAAUGUUAUAACUCAAUUUCUUUUGAUUUUAAUUCGUAGCAAAUACUUUGUCAUUCGUCUCUAUCCCUAGAAAUCUCGCUCGCCACUUUUCCUCGUCUCUCUCAUUUUAUACAAACACAAGUAUAUAAAUUGUGUUUGUAUAAAGCGAGAGAAAACUCUCUCUCUCUCUCUCUCUCUCUCUCUCUAUAUAUAUAUAUAUAUAUAUAUAUAUAUAUAUCUUUGUCCUUUACGCUUAUAAUUAUACAAUACAAAUUUUUAUCUGCUCAAUCGCUUUUGUUUUCGCUCUUUCUCGUUUUAUACAAACACAAAUUAUAUAUUGUAUAAUUUGUGUUUGUAUAAACUGAGAGAGAUUUGAUAUACAAAUACAGUUGUUUUUACUCGAUUUAAUUGUAAACGAAUUCAAAUUUUAUGCAAAUAUACAAACUCAAAAGAACAUGUACAUAUACAAAUGUAAUUUUCAUAGAAACAGACACUUGAUUUAUACAAAUCGAUGCAAUUUAUAAAAAUCAGAUGCCUGUGAUUUUAUACAAAUCAAAAUUGCAUGUGAUUUUUAUACGAAUCUGAUGCUAUAUGAGUUUUUAUUAUUUCAAAACCUAAAAUUACUUUAAAAAAUAUAAUUAAAAUGUUAACAAUAUUUUAAGAAUAAAUUCUUCUUAACAUAAUAAACAAAGAUGUUGAAUUUGUAUGAACAAAGACUUUCACCAACUUCAUACUUCUAAGAAUAAAAAAAUAUUAUCCUUGUUGACAAUUUCAGCUAUCUAUCUAUAUAUAUAUAUAUAUAUAUAUAUAUGGAUAAAUAUUCUAUGGACUACAUAAAUGAGGUGCGGAAGUCAAGUGAAGUCGUCAACAUUGACGAUGAGUAAUGUUUACCAAGAUGCAUGAAAUUUCAACAAGGAUCAUAUAUAAGAAUCCAUAUAUAUUCACACAAAAAAAAAAAAAAAAAAAAAAAAAAAAAAAUAUAUAUAUAUAUAUAUAUAUAUAUAUUCACACUGAAAAUGAACAUGCUUUAGGGUGUGUUUGGUUAGAAUGAAAUGUUUUCCAUAGAAAAUAUUUUUCUAGAAAAUAAAUAAAUUAUUGAUUUAUUUUUUCAUAUUUGGUUGAUGAUCGGUAGAAAAUAUUUUCUAAAAAAUUUUUAUAGUGCUUGAUUUAUGACUGAAAAAUACUUUUCAGAAAAUAUCUUUUAUUUUUACUAAAAAAUAUAAAAUUAUUUUUGAAUUAAAAUUGAAAAUAUUUUUAAAAAAUAAAUCAAAUUUUUUUAUGAAAAAUUUAUAAUUUGAAGUUGGAGAAAAGUCUUGAAAAGUUUUUUCUUAAUUUUUGAAGAAAAGUCAUUUUCCUUUAAUUUUGAGGAAAAUGAAUUAAUUUGGAGAAUAUUUUUUAAAAUCUUACCCAACUAAACAUGAAAAUAUUAAAAAACAUUUUCCUUUCGUACCUACAUAAAAUUAUUUUCAUUUUAAAUAAACUUAUUUAUGAAUUUUCCAGGAAUAUACGUUUCCGGAAUACGCAAUUUGUUGAACGUUUUACGACUAACGACAAUUUUAGUAGGCCUGUCAAUUUUGUAACCGUCUCAUCAUGUGUUUUUUUUUUUUUUAAUAUAUAUCAAUAUGUUUCGAUUAAUUUAUAAUAUUUUUUAAAAUAUCACGCAAAAGUCACAAGUGAAGGUUAGAUUAUGAUAUUAUACAACACAUACAUUUUUGUAGGAUUUGAAUAAAAACUCUUCUAAAUUUUUUGUAUGGAUUAAAAGGUAAUGAUUUAGAAGAACUCGAAAGAUGACCAUGAUAGUGAUGCAUCCCAUAGGAGUAUCUACUAUCUUAUAACUUGCUACUUGCUGCUAAAACUCGUUCAUAGCUUACUACCAUUCUAGAUCAACAUUCAUCCCCAAGCCCAAAGUGAAAACUUUAACAACUAGGGCGUAUGUUUAAUAGGAAAUGAAAAUAUUUUUUAAUUUUCUCAUGUUUAAUUGUGGUAAAUAUUUUAAAAAAUAUUUUAUUUUUUUUAAAAUUUAAAAAAAAUAAAUUAAGAAAAACAUUUUCCAAACUUUGUUGUAACUUUAAAUUACAUUAUUUUUUUAUUGAAAAAUUUAAUUUAUUUUUGUCCCUAUCCUCAAACCAGCCCUCCCCCCUCUCCCCUCCCAAAAAAAUAAAUAAAUAAUUUAGAGCUUGUUCUUUUAAAAAAGUUUCACUUCAAUUUUUUAUCACACCCCCCCCCCCCAAAAAAAAUAUAUAUUUCAAAAAUGUAAAAAAAUAAAAGAUAUUUUUGUAAAAUGAUUUUUCAUUUAUAAAUCAAAUACUAAAAAUCUUUUUUGAAAAAUAUUUUCUAUUCACGAAUCAGACAUGAGUAAAUAAAUCAAAAAUUAUUUUCCUUCGUAUCAAAUACACCCGCAACGUAUCAUCGGAGUAUCUCUUAGCUUUUUUCUUCUCUGGUGAAUUAUUUAGCACAAAUCUGAUUGGAGAUGUCAAAAUAAACACUGGAUACUAGAUAUAUAUAUCGUUUUAAUGAGACAGAAUACAUAGAUUCCCCUUGGAUUUGUACCCCUUCUUAAAAAAUAAAAUAUUAAAAAAGCUAUGGCCUAGAUUUGUUGUUUUUUUUUUUUUUUGGAUAAGUGGAACAUGAGAAAGACCGAACCUUAUCUUCAAAAUUAAAUUUGUACUUGCUUUUUUUUAAAAAAUAAAUAAUUGAAAAGGUCCUAUUAACUUAUAUAAUUACUCAAAUUCACAAUAAAUACAUCUAUUUCAGUCAUUUUCAUUGCAACUGUGUUCUCACGAAAGUUGAGUGCAUGAAGGAGUAAUAAUACAACCUUAAAUCAGUGUAAAAAUAUCACAUGAAAAUAUCAAUUUGAUUUUUUAAUUAAUAAAUCAGACACAUAUUUCCAUCAUCCUCAAAUCACCAUUAAAACCUUUAAACAACUUCAAAUCACCAUUAAAACCUUUGUACGACUUCCUCCCAUACGUAGAAAGACUUGUCAAAUUAGACUUUCCCUAACCGAUUAAUUCAUCUAGAUAUGUACUUGAGACAUAUUUCCAUUUAGAUAUGUGAUAUUUUCAUUUUUCGAAAGUCAAACAGUUUAAUUAUAAUCGGAAAUUUGCGUAUAAAAUUUUCAAAUUUUUUGACAUAAAAUUUAUAUAUUUAUAAACUACGUAAAGAAUACUAUAAGUCACAAUAAUUGAUAAUUCAAAAUGUUAAAAUGAUUUAUGAAAAAUUUACUUUGAAAAAUAUGCUUAAUUAAAUUUUGAAAUGCGACAAAAAAACGAGACGAAAAGAGUAAAUUAUAAGCUACUCAAACUAAAAUAUAGUUAUUUUUUCUCUAUUUACAUGUUUGAUAAUAUUACUCCUAUAUCAAAAUCUCAUCCAUUUGUCCCUCUCAAUUUAUUUUGACAAAUAUUUUAUUAUUUACUAAUAUUUUUCAAGCACAAAGAUAAUACAACUGCUUUUAGAAAAAGGAAAUUGAUAAAUUACACAAUUAAGCAAAAAAUUAAAAAAAAAUAAAAAAUUAACAGGUCUCUUCCUCAGUUUUCCCCUUAUUAUGUGCAUACUUUUGAAGAUUUUCACCGUGCAACUUUCCAUACCUAAACUCGUCAAAAAUUUCAACUCCCAUAUUUAUGUAAAAAUCAUAUGACUUCUUAUUCCAAACUGCGAUUAUUCCAUCGACCGAUACGAACCCAUUGUUCGCAGCAAUGGACGAAACUGUUCCAAACAACAAUUUCCCCAUUCCCAACUUUCUAUAACUCUCCCUGAAGUAAAGACUUUCAAAAUAAAAUCCUGGCUUGUCAUUGAAACAUGAAUAAUUCGCGUAAAAGAAAGCAUAUCCUGCAAUGUAAGCAUCACUCUUAUCAUCAUGUUUGGAUCGGAAUUCCUCAACUUGUCCUUCCACCACGGGGAAUUUAAGAUCAAACGUUGUAAGGACGGGCUUGAACGCUUGGUUAGUGGGUUCGUUAAAAGGGGUUGGAGAGACUUCAAGUAGAAGUACGGAUGGCCCAUAGAAAAGUGGAAGAGGAUUUUCUUUAAAAAGCAAGCCCUCUAAGGAGGACUC